This 85-nucleotide transfer RNA is filed under the name Endozoicomonadaceae bacterium. RNAcentral describes it as "tRNA-Leu". It matches the Rfam family "tRNA". Rfam says of the family: Transfer RNA (tRNA) molecules are approximately 80 nucleotides in length. The record is from RNAcentral. Lineage: Bacteria; Pseudomonadati; Pseudomonadota; Gammaproteobacteria; Oceanospirillales; Endozoicomonadaceae.
GGCAGCGUGGCGGAAUUGGUAGACGCGAUGCACUCAAAAUGCAUUGUCUUAUGACGUCCCGGUUCGAGUCCGGGCGCUGCUACCA